Molecule: ribosomal RNA, 116 nt
Filed under: Pteropus alecto (black flying fox)
Lineage: Eukaryota; Metazoa; Chordata; Mammalia; Chiroptera; Pteropodidae
Source: RNAcentral
AUCUAUGGCCCUGCUUCCCUGAACAAGUUCGAUGUCUGAUCUUGGAAGCUAAGCAGGGUCGGGCCUGGUUAGUACUUGGGUGGGAGACCACCUAGGAAGACUGGGUGCUGUAGGUA